GAUCCCUGAUGUUUUCAGGUGAAUGACAUAGCAUUCCAUCCGGCUCAUGGUACGCUCGCAACUGUUGGAUCAGACGGUCGGUUCUCGUUCUGGGAUAAAGAUGCAAGAACUAAAUUGAAAACAUCCGAACAGCUUGAUCAGCCCGUGUCGGCAUGCGCCUUCAAUGCCGGCGGUGAACUCUUUGCCUACUGUACAAGUUAUGAUUGGUCGAAGGGUCACGAAUAUCACAACCCACAGAAACGGAGCAGCAUUUUCCUGCAUUCCUGCUUCGAAGAGUUGAAGCCGCGUAACAAGAAGUGAGAGACUAGUGGAUCAACGAAUGAAUUAUUGACGUGUGAGAUAUCCAUGUAUAUAUAUGACAGUAUAUGCUUAUACAAUAAACAGUUUUAUAUUGAAAUAAUUAUGGCAAAUGUUCUUAACAGAAUGUAACGUACAUAGUUCACAGUUCAGUUGACGCUCAACAGUACUGCUGACGUUUAAAUGAACGUUAAUGAACGUCUUAAUCGUUAAAGCUUAAGCUAAUAAUUCCAUAGAGAAAUUUAUUGGAAUGUAGAAGCAAUUUUACAUUGAUAAAAUAAUUACAUGCUGUAAAACUCGUCCGAGUUUCGAAAGCAGUAAAUGUGGCUGUGCCACAUGACAGUCGUUAAGAGAAACAACACGAUGACAGUGUGAAAAGACGUUUUAAAAUGGAAUGUUUACAGACCAAAAGACUUUAAAAGCACUACCUUCUUAAAACACUUGCAAUAAGCCAUAAUUGCUUUCUGCUACCAAACACGUGGUCAGCAGAUAUUUAAACGGUUUGUGCGAAUUCGAAAGGUGACGAAAAAAGCAAUCUGAAGCUUAUAAUUGCAGUUGUUUCUUUUUAUAACCAUGCAUAACCAUAAUACCAAGAGCAUAUUAAGAAGGCUAUAUUCUUCUUUAUAUGCUCUUGAUAAUACUGUAUACGUAUUUGGUAGCCAAAAACUCCUACGACAAUAGGAAUCAAACAAUGGCUUACUAUAUCAGGUUAAUGAUCUUUAAAUUUACUACUUGAGAAUAAUGUUAAAAGUUUCAAAAUGCCUUAUAUUAUAUAAACCAAUUUAAAGCAAGCCAACUUUAUAUAGCAAAGAACAAACAUGAGACACUUUCACUCGUCAUGUCAUAAACUUACGAUAAUGCUUAUCGUCACAUUUCGGUCAACUUGAAUUGAACUGAAUUGAAUUGAAUUGAACUCGCCAUAAUUUCUGAGAACAAUGUCUAAUACCAUCGGCUGAUCAUUGUUCAAUGCACACGCACAAGAUUGACAUUGAAAAGGUGAUCAAGCAUAUUGCCAGUGUUUCCGUCGUGGACAGAUUGUUUAUUGAUUGCGCCCUAGGGGUUCAUAUAGUUUAAUCGCGUGGUGAGAAUACACUUGCCACCCUCACUGACGCCUUUAGUUGAGCAAUGCAGUGAAUCGUGAUCAAUCUCAAGUGUAUUGUGAACGUCGCACACAACAUGAAUUGCGAAUGCACGAUCGCAGGGUGACUUCACACUCC
This is a long non-coding RNA of Priapulus caudatus, 1514 nucleotides long. RefSeq lists it as uncharacterized. NCBI's taxonomy places the organism in Eukaryota, Metazoa, Priapulida, Priapulimorpha, Priapulimorphida, Priapulidae. The record is from RefSeq and is a predicted model, not a curated record. The transcript has 4 exons.